GUGCUCACUUUAACAGCACAUAUACUAAACUGGAAACAAUGCAGGGAUGAUUAGCAUGGCCCCAACAAGGAUGCCAACACAAAUUUGUGCAGUGUUCUAUAUUAAA
Otolemur garnettii (small-eared galago) is the source of this 106-nucleotide small nuclear RNA. Lineage: Eukaryota; Metazoa; Chordata; Mammalia; Primates; Galagidae. The record is from Ensembl.